Molecule: ribosomal RNA, 773 nt
Filed under: uncultured Streptococcus sp.
Lineage: Bacteria; Bacillati; Bacillota; Bacilli; Lactobacillales; Streptococcaceae
Description: bacterial SSU rRNA
Rfam family: Bacterial small subunit ribosomal RNA
Source: RNAcentral
GACGAACGCUGGCGGCGUGCCUAAUACAUGCAAGUAGAACGCACAGGAUGCACCGUAGUUUACUACACCGUAUUCUGUGAGUUGCGAACGGGUGAGUAACGCGUAGGUAACCUGCCUGGUAGCGGGGGAUAACUAUUGGAAACGAUAGCUAAUACCGCAUAAGAACAUUUACUGCAUGGUAGAUGUUUAAAAGGUGCAAAUGCAUCACUACCAAAUGGACCUGCGUUGUAUUAGCUAGUAGGUGAGGUAACGGCUCACCUAGGCGACGAUACAUAGCCGACCUGAGAGGGUGAUCGGCCACACUGGGACUGAGACACGGCCCAGACUCCUACGGGAGGCAGCAGUAGGGAAUCUUCGGCAAUGGGGGGAACCCUGACCGAGCAACGCCGCGUGAGUGAAGAAGGUUUUCGGAUCGUAAAGCUCUGUUGUUAAGGAAGAACGAGUGUGAGAAUGGAAAGUUCAUACUGUGACGGUACUUAACCAGAAAGGGACGGCUAACUACGUGCCAGCAGCCGCGGUAAUACGUAGGUCCCGAGCGUUGUCCGGAUUUAUUGGGCGUAAAGCGAGCGCAGGCGGUUAGAUAAGUCUGAAGUUAAAGGCAGUGGCUCAACCAUUGUAGGCUUUGGAAACUGUUUAACUUGAGUGCAGAAGGGGAGAGUGGAAUUCCAUGUGUAGCGGUGAAAUGCGUAGAUAUAUGGAGGAACACCGGUGGCGAAAGCGGCUCUCUGGUCUGUAACUGACGCUGAGGCUCGAAAGCGUGGGGAGCGAACAGG